This 75-nucleotide transfer RNA is filed under the name Marmota monax (woodchuck). RNAcentral's name for it is "tRNA.Ala". The record is from RNAcentral. Lineage: Eukaryota; Metazoa; Chordata; Mammalia; Rodentia; Sciuridae.
GGGGUUGUGGCUCAGCGGUGGAGUGCUCACCUAGCAUGUGCGUGCGAGGCACUGAGUUCGAUCCUCAGAACCACA